Molecule: ribosomal RNA, 304 nt
Filed under: uncultured bacterium
Lineage: Bacteria
Description: partial 16S ribosomal RNA
Rfam family: Bacterial small subunit ribosomal RNA
Source: RNAcentral
CAGCAGCAGCCACGGGAAUACGAAGGGGGCUAGCGUUGUUCGGAAUUACUGGGCGUAAAGCGCACGUAGGCGGAUACUUAAGUUAGGGGUGAAAUCCCAGGGCUCAACCCUGGAACUGCCUUUAAUACUGGGUAUCUUGAGUUCGAGAGAGGUAAGUGGAAUUCCGAGUGUAGAGGCGAAAUUCGUAGAUAUUCGGAGGAACACCAGUGGCGAAGGCGGCUUACUGGCUCGAUACUGACGCUGAGGUGCGAAAGCGUGGGGAGCAAACAGGAUUAGAUACCCCAGUAGUCCCUGUCUCUUAUAC